Long non-coding RNA from Mesocricetus auratus (golden hamster), 1401 nucleotides. RefSeq lists it as uncharacterized. The record is from RefSeq and is a predicted model, not a curated record. Lineage: Eukaryota; Metazoa; Chordata; Mammalia; Rodentia; Cricetidae. The transcript has 7 exons.
UGUAACGCCAUGAGGUAGAACCCCGGAACUAUUCUCCGGACUCUCAGCCGCUCCUCCAGCACUAUGUCUGCCUGCACACCGCCACGCUCCCCACCAUGGCGACAACGGACUGAACGAACCUCUGAAACUGAUCACCUCCAGAGGACCAAGGUCGAGUCCCAGCAUCCACAUGGCAGCCCUCAGCCGUCUGCCUCCAGUCCCAGCAAGGAGGUUUAAAGGAGACUCAACCAACCAUCGCGGCAAUUCUCACCACACCCCAAAUACAGGCUACUGCCUGUGUACAGCCGACAACCCGUGCGCGUGUCCACAGGUUGGUAGUCCAGAUGAGAAAGUACAACUACAUUCAGUUAUGAAAUAAAUAGAUUCUGGAGGUCCAGCAUGAAGGACCAUGACCAGCGCACACUGGGAAGAAAACACACACACACACUAUUAGGAAGUGCGGCCCUUGUUGGAGGAAGCGUGUUGCUGUGGAGGUGAGCUUUGAGGUCUCACAUAUGCCAUGCCCAGUGUCCCAGACCACUUCCUGUCACCUGCAAGUCAAGACAUAGGACUCUCAGAUACUUCUCCAGCACCGUGUUGCACCAAGAUGAUAAUGGACUAAACCUCUGAAAAAUCCUCGGUCUCCUGCUUGAGAAGUAAAGUAGAGAGGGCUUUACACUGGGCGAGCGAGAAGCAGCAUGGACGGCGGGGCCACGAGAGGUUAUGAAACAGCCGGAAGCCACGGUGAAGCGGGACGCGGGAACAUCUGGAAGCCUCGGUCUCCUCUGCUUGAGAAGUAAGGUAGAGAGAGCUUUAUACUGGGCGAGCGAGAAGCAGCACGAGAUGGUUAUGAAACAGCCAGAAGGAAGCCUCUGGGCCAAGAUGUAGGGACUCUCGGCUCCUGCACCACAUCGGCCUGCGUGCCGCCAUGCUCCCCGCCCUGAUGAUAACGGGCUGAACCUCUAAAACUGUAAGCAAGCUCCCUCGAUUAAACGUUUUCACUUACCAGGGUUGCCGUGGCCACGGCGUCUCUCCAUAGCAAUAGAAACCUCACUCAAGACAACACAGUUCUGGGAACCUUUCCAAAACUGCCCAGCAGACAUCCUCUGACUGACACUGAGUCCUUGGCGUGUCUAAAAGCAUUGCUAGAAACGGGAGUGGAGUGGUACCUGAUACUUUUGACAAGGCCUCGUCCUAAGAGGUUUUCCCAAAGGCGCACCUGCCGUCAUAUGAAAAUGCCUGUGAAUGUGAUUGUUCGGUACAGCACUGUAUAUAACUGCAGUCCAAACGCUCAGAAGAGAGAGUUAGAACGCCUUCGGUCGAGGUGGUGAGCUGCUGAGCUGCUGAGCUGCUGUAACCACACUGGAAGGAGCCCUUGCCUUUAGCUCUCUGACAAUGGAGACAAUAGAUUCCCAAAGUACU